AACUGAUACUACCUGCGGGAACCUGCGGAAGGAUCAUUACCGAGUUUACAACUCCCAAACCCAAUGUGAACGUUACCAAACUGUUGCCUCGGCGGGAUCUCUGCCCCGGGUGCGUCGCAGCCCCGGACCAAGGCGCCCGCCGGAGGACCAACCAAAACUCUUAUUGUAUACCCCCUCGCGGGUUUUUUUAUAAUCUGAGCCUUCUCGGCGCCUCUCGUAGGCGUUUCGAAAAUGAAUCAA
This 240-nucleotide unclassified non-coding RNA is filed under the name soil metagenome. Its description in RNAcentral is "partial contains 5.8S ribosomal RNA, internal transcribed spacer 2, and large subunit ribosomal RNA". The record is from RNAcentral.